This 610-nucleotide small RNA is filed under the name Pongo abelii (Sumatran orangutan). RNAcentral describes it as "processed transcript". Lineage: Eukaryota; Metazoa; Chordata; Mammalia; Primates; Hominidae. The record is from RNAcentral.
GCCAGAACAGUGGCUAUGGAGUGUUUUAGAGGAAAUUAAAUGCAGUAAUCCUUCAUCUAAACUCUGUGCUACAAGGCGCAGUGCUGGAAUUCCUUUCUACAUACAGGCACUGUUGGCGUCUGAACCAAAGAAAGGCAAAAUGGAUUUGUUGAAAAUAACAAUGAAACAGUUAAUCUCUUUGGCUGGGCCUACAGAUGACUUACAGAGUACAGUCCCCCAGGUUCAUGCUUUAAAUAUCCUUAGAGCAUUGUUCAGAGAUACGCGCCUGGGAGAAAAUAUUAUUCCUUAUGUUGCUGAUGGAGCUAAGGCUGCAAUUCUGGGUUUUACAUCACCGGUCUGGGCAGUGCGAAAUUCAUCCACACUUCUGUUUAGUGCCUUGAUCACAAGAAUUUUUGGAGUUAAAAGGGCAAAGGAUGAACAUUCCAAAACAAAUAGGACCCAGUUUGGCCCAGUGAUCUUUCUCUUGAGGAUCUAGAGUUAUAUUCAAAGCCCUAUUCCCUUCUUACCUAAAAAAGUCAUAUGCUUCAUAUUUAAGUUUUAAGCUAAUGUUUAUUGAAAUGCAUUUUUGUGUGAUGGAACUAAAUCUUAGGAAUUAAAAAAAUAUGAAAUC